Molecule: transfer RNA, 73 nt
Filed under: Urocitellus parryii (Arctic ground squirrel)
Lineage: Eukaryota; Metazoa; Chordata; Mammalia; Rodentia; Sciuridae
Also listed under: 1 other name
Description: Spermophilus parryii (Arctic ground squirrel) tRNA
Rfam family: tRNA
About the family: Transfer RNA (tRNA) molecules are approximately 80 nucleotides in length. Their secondary structure includes four short double-helical elements and three loops (D, anti-codon, and T loops). Further hydrogen bonds mediate the characteristic L-shaped molecular structure. tRNAs have two regions of fundamental functional importance: the anti-codon, which is responsible for specific mRNA codon recognition, and the 3' end, to which the tRNAs corresponding amino acid is attached (by aminoacyl-tRNA synthetases). tRNAs cope with the degeneracy of the genetic code in two manners: having more than one tRNA (with a specific anti-codon) for a particular amino acid; and 'wobble' base-pairing, i.e. permitting non-standard base-pairing at the 3rd anti-codon position.
Source: Rfam by way of RNAcentral
AGGGGUAUAACUCAGUUAGCAGAGUGCUUGCCUCACAGGCACAAGGCCCUGGGUUCAAUUCCCAGCACCACAC